CCCUGUUGGUACAACACUUCCCCCUCCCCCCUGGCCCAGCCAGCUUGGGUUUCCCAGUGGGGACAGGUGCCACCUUUCAAUCACGCCAUGUCCUUCCCGUCCGACCUGGCCGCACCGGCCCCGAGUCCUCCUUCCUGAACUCUGGCAGCAGUCAGUGAACCUCAGGGAGCCAUAGCCCCAGCCCUGGGGCCACCCCACCCCUCCAGAGUCUGGACCCCAUGUGCUUAGCCCCUGCCCAGCUCUGCUCAUCUCCCUGAAGCAGCUGCAGGGACACCAGGCCUACAGGCCCGGAGCAGCCCAGGUUGGGCCUCAAACCCCAGCAAUCUUCCUGCCUCGGCCUCCCAAGUACUGGAUGACAGGAUAGACUUUUAGACAGAGGGGUCAGACUCGCUACCUGGGAGGGGCGGCCUGAACCUGCAGAUGCAUGGUGACUGCUGGUGGCCAAGCGGCCUCUAUGGAGAAAUGCUCGGUUGGCUGGAGCAGCAGAGGAGGCAGACUGCAGUGACCGGCGAGUUAUUCGGGUUCAGGAUCCCCCAGGAGAGGGGGCAACUGAGCUGGGAACUCAAGAGCACUGUGGCGGCUCUCCCAGCAAGCCUGCAGGAGACACUGGGGGUGGGGGUGCUUCACGGAUGAGCACAUUGCAUUCCGCCUCACCACCAGAAAUCGCCUGAGCGCCGCGGAACCGUGGCCUGCCGGGUUAAUCAGCUUGGUCUGGACUCUGUCUGCCCAUGGCGCCCACCAGUGACAGCAAAGACUCGCCUCGGGUGGACAUUGUUCUUCUGUUUUCCUUUUUUCUUGAUCCUGUUUUUCUGUGUGUGUGAACAUGGAUUCUAGCUCUCUUGUUGUUGCUCUGUUCUCCUCUUACUUCUUCCCUUUCUUUUCCCCUCUCGUCUUCUUUCCAGUUUUCCAAAGUCUGCACCAUCUUCCCUUGUUCUCAGCUUUGCUUCUAAUCUCUUCCUCUUCUCUCAGUUUCUCUAUUUUUCUCCCCUUAACCCCUUUUAAACUUUUCCCCGAGGAUAAAAUUGCCAUACUGAAAGUUUAUUUAACUAUGUACAAUUUUCUGGUUUGUUUUAGAUUUUGUUUAUAACCACAAAUCUGGUUCAUAGCAUUAAAGGUAGCAGAUUAA
Long non-coding RNA from Cavia porcellus (domestic guinea pig), 1126 nucleotides. RefSeq lists it as uncharacterized. NCBI's taxonomy places the organism in Eukaryota, Metazoa, Chordata, Mammalia, Rodentia, Caviidae. The transcript has 2 exons. The record is from RefSeq and is a predicted model, not a curated record.